This is an unclassified non-coding RNA of Ursus americanus (American black bear), 326 nucleotides long. Its record names the gene 7SK. It matches the Rfam family "7SK RNA". From Rfam's summary of the family: 7SK was discovered as an abundant small nuclear RNA in the mid-70s but a possible function has only recently been suggested. Two independent studies have found that 7SK RNA binds the CDK9/cyclin T complex (known as elongation factor P-TEFb). P-TEFb activates transcription by phosphorylating the C-terminal domain of RNA polymerase II. The record is from Ensembl. NCBI's taxonomy places the organism in Eukaryota, Metazoa, Chordata, Mammalia, Carnivora, Ursidae.
GGAUGUGAGGGUUACCUGGCUGCAAUAUCUAUUAACCCUUUAAUCCCCAGGGUUGACUGGGCUGAUCUGUCUGGCUAGGCAAGCGUCCCCUUCCUCCCUCACCAUUCCAUGUGCAUCCCUCCUAAAGCUACACAGCUGGUCAAAGAGGACAAUCUUCCUCAAUAAAGGAGGACCAUUCUUCAGUCAAGAGUAUCUGGUAGUUGUGCUCCCCUCUAGAACCUCCAAACAAGCUUUCGAAGUCCACUCACAGGAAACACAGGGUAGUCAAGCUUCCAAGCCUCCAGACUCACACAAAUGGGGCACUGCAUGUGGCAGUCUGCCUUUCU